Molecule: ribosomal RNA, 516 nt
Filed under: vouchered mycorrhizae (Glomus)
Lineage: Eukaryota; Fungi; Glomeromycota; Glomeromycetes; Glomerales; Glomeraceae
Description: SSU rRNA
Rfam family: Eukaryotic small subunit ribosomal RNA
Source: RNAcentral
CAGCUGGUGCCAGCAGCCGCGGUAAUUCCAGCUCCAAUAGCGUAUAUUAAAGUUGUUGCAGUUAAAAAGCUCGUAGUUGAAUUUUGGGAUCAAUAUGUUGGUCGUGCCUUGGUACGUACUGGCGUCAUUGGUUUCUACCUUCUGAAGAACCUCGAUGUCAUUAAUUUGGUGUCUUGGGGAAUCAGGACUGUACUUUGAAAAAAUUAGAGUGUUUAAAGCAAGCUCAUGCUUGAAUACAUUAGCAUGGAAUAAUGAAAUAGGACGUUUGAUUCUAUUUUGUUGGUUUCUAGGAUCGACGUAAUGAUUAAUAGGGAUAGUUGGGGGCAUUAGUAUUCAAUUGUCAGAGGUGAAAUUCUUGGAUUUAUUGAAGACUAACUACUGCGAAAGCAUUUGCCAAGGAUGUUUUCAUUAAUCAAGAACGAAAGUUAGGGGAUCGAAGACGAUCAGAUACCGUCGUAGUCUUAACCAUAAACUAUGCCGACUAGGGAUCGGAUGAUGUUAAUUUUUUAAUGACUC